This 468-nucleotide ribosomal RNA is filed under the name uncultured bacterium. RNAcentral's name for it is "partial 16S ribosomal RNA". It matches the Rfam family "Bacterial small subunit ribosomal RNA", at positions 28 to 507 of the family's 1533-position model. The record is from RNAcentral.
GACGAACGCUGGCGGCGUGCUUAACACAUGCAAGUCGAACGGAAAGGCCCUGCAUUUGUGGGGUGCUCGAGUGGCGAACGGGUGAGUAACACGUGAGUAACCUGCCCUUGACUUUGGGAUAACUUCAGGAAACUGGGGCUAAUACCGGAUAGGAGCUCCUGCUGCAUGGUGGAGGUUGGAAAGUUUCGGCGGUUGGGGAUGGACUCGCGGCUUAUCAGCUUGUUGGUGGGGUAGUGGCUUACCAAGGCUUUGACGGGUAGCCGGCCUGAGAGGGUGACCGGCCACAUUGGGACUGAGAUACGGCCCAGACUCCUACGGGAGGCAGCAGUGGGGAAUAUUGCACAAUGGGCGGAAGCCUGAUGCAGCAACGCCGCGUGCGGGAUGACGGCCUUCGGGUUGUAAACCGCUUUCGCCUGUGACGAAGCGUGAGUGACGGUAAUGGGUAAAGAAGCACCGGCUAACUACGUG